This 690-nucleotide ribosomal RNA is filed under the name Nesterenkonia sp. 110 JDE-2009. RNAcentral describes it as "partial 16S ribosomal RNA". Lineage: Bacteria; Bacillati; Actinomycetota; Actinomycetes; Micrococcales; Micrococcaceae. The record is from RNAcentral.
CGAUGCUCCGCCGCUUGUGCGGGCCCCCGCUCAAUUCCUUUGAGUUUUAGCCUUGCGGCCGUACUCCCCAGGCGGGGUCACUUAAUGCGUUAGCUACGGCGCGGGAAAACGUGKAAAUGUUCCCCACACCUAGUGCCCAACGUUUACGGCAUGGACUACCAGGGUAUCUAAUCCUGUUCGCUCCCCAUGCUUUCGCUCCUCAGCGUCAGUAACAGCCCAGAGACCUGCCUUCGCCAUCGGGGUUCUUCCUGAUAUCUGCGCAUUUCACCGCUACACCAGGAAUUCCAGUCUCCCCUACUGCACUCUAGUCUACCCGUACCCACUGCACACCCGGAGUUAAGCCCCGGGCUUUCACAGCAGACGUGGCAAACCGCCUGCGAGCCCUUUACGCCCAAUAAUUCCGGAUAACGCUCGCGCCCUACGUAUUACCGCGGCUGCUGGCACGUAGUUAGCCGGCGCUUCUUCUGCAGGUACCGUCACAAAAAGCUUCUUYCCUGCUGAAAGCGGUUUACAACCCGAAGGCCGUCAUCCCGCACGCGGCGUCGCUGCAUCAGGCUUGCGCCCAUUGUGCAAUAUUCCCCASUGYUGHCUCCCGUAAGAGUCUGGGCCGUGUCUCANUCCCAGUGUGGCCGGUCACCCCUCUCAGGCCGGCUACCCGUCAUCGCCUUGGUGAGCCAUUACCUCCACCAA